GCCAGACUCCUACGGGAGGCAGCAGUGGGGAAUAUUGCACAAUGGGGGAAACCCUGAUGCAGCGAUGCCGCGUGGAUGAAGAAGGUUUUCGGAUUGUAAACUCCUUUUAUCAGGGACGAUAAUGACGGUACCUGAAGAAAAAGCAUCUGCUAACUCCGUGCCAGCAGCCGCGGUAAUACGGAGGAUGCGAGCGUUAUCCGGAUUUAUUGGGUUUAAAGGGUGCGUAGGCGGGCUUUUAAGUCAGCGGUAAAAAUUCGGGGCUCAACCCCGUCCGGCCGUUGAAACUGGGGGCCUUGAGUGGGCGAGAAGAAGGCGGAAUGCGUGGUGUAGCGGUGAAAUGCAUAGAUAUCACGCAGAACCCCGAUUGCGAAGGCAGCCUUCCGGCGCCCUACUGACGCUGAGGCACGAAAGUGCGGGGAUCGAACAGGAUUAGAUACCCUAGUA
This 444-nucleotide ribosomal RNA is filed under the name uncultured bacterium. RNAcentral describes it as "bacterial SSU rRNA". It matches the Rfam family "Bacterial small subunit ribosomal RNA", at positions 330 to 792 of the family's 1533-position model. The record is from RNAcentral.